GACGAACGCUGGCGGCGUGCUUAACACAUGCAAGUCGAACGGAAAGGCCCUGCUUUUGUGGGGUGCUCGAGUGGCGAACGGGUGAGUAACACGUGAGUAACCUGCCCUUGACUUUGGGAUAACUUCAGGAAACUGGGGCUAAUACCGGAUAGGAGCUCCUGCUGCAUGGUGGGGGUUGGAAAGUUUCGGCGGUUGGGGAUGGACUCGCGGCUUAUCAGCUUGUUGGUGGGGUAGUGGCUUACCAAGGCUUUGACGGGUAGCCGGCCUGAGAGGGUGACCGGCCACAUUGGGACUGAGAUACGGCCCAGACUCCUACGGGAGGCAGCAGGGGGGAAUAUUGCACAAUGGGCGGAAGCCUGAUGCAGCAACGCCGCGUGCGGGAUGACGGCCUUCGGGUUGUAAACCGCGUUCGCCUGUGACGAAGCGUGAGUGACGGUAAUGGGUAAAGAAGCACCGGCUAACUACGUG
This 468-nucleotide ribosomal RNA is filed under the name uncultured bacterium. Its description in RNAcentral is "partial 16S ribosomal RNA". It matches the Rfam family "Bacterial small subunit ribosomal RNA", at positions 28 to 507 of the family's 1533-position model. The record is from RNAcentral.